RNAcentral lists this unclassified non-coding RNA (277 nucleotides) under Hevea brasiliensis (rubber tree). The record is from RNAcentral. Lineage: Eukaryota; Viridiplantae; Streptophyta; Magnoliopsida; Malpighiales; Euphorbiaceae.
GUUGAUAUAUAGCAUCAAAAAUACAUAAAUAACAUCUACAACAUCAAAGAGCAUCCAAAAAAGAUAUAAAUCCAUCAUGACAUUGUUUUUCAUUACUUAGCCAGCUAUUGGGAAAACAACAGAUAUUUUUUUGCAAAAGCUUUUCUUCACAUUACAUUGGAAAUAUGGUAAGCAACACCAUAAGAACCUUUUUUUCCCGAUUUGUUUGAUAACUUUUUCCCCUCAAAACCCACAAAUCUAAUGUAUAAUACUGUUGUAAUCCCUUAAUUAGUGCAUU